CGGUUAGGUUUAUUUUAAAAAAUCAUUUUCUUUGCGGAUGCCGAUUGGCUGACGUUUAAACGUGACAUAGAAGUUCAUUUCACUUCAUCAAUCAUUAUUUAUUUCGUAUACAAACGAUGCACAUCACAUCUCAUUUUCAAUAAUAUUCACGCCUCCCGACGAUGCGUUUUUCGUGACGUCAUACACCCUCAUCACUCGCAUCUCCUCAAGUCGCCUUACCUCACUUCACCUCGUCAAGAUAAUGGCGGCUUUGCUGCAGUUUUAACUGACAAGCCUUGUCCCUUGUUAUCGUGUCAGGUGGUUCUUCGGGGAAGCGACGCAUCGACGGGAAGGAUUGGCGCCUCGUCUCACCAGCACGUGUUCAGAAGCGCGAGGGUAUUCGCUGAAGCUCGGGAAGGAUCGCGGCUCACAGCGAUUGGAUCCAGCUCGCUCUCGCUGGAGCCCGGGUCCGAGCAGCUUGAAGACCACACGAGGUGGAGAGGUUCGAGAUAGCUUCUGGGUUUCAGCUCAUCUGUCCUUCCGAGCUGAAGUCCGUAAUAAAGGCAUCAGCCACCAUUUCUUGGGUGGUUUAAGACGAGGAGGAAAAUGGCAGAAGAUUAAAUGAUAUUUUUUGUUUUAAGAAAAGCGCCCAGCGUGAACAUCCGAAGAGGAAUUGAAGAUUAAUAUUUAUCCUGUAGGAUUUGCUGCGGAGGUGCCCAAUUUGGAUAGAUUCAUUGAGUGCUGGUUUUUCCUUUUUUGUUUUGCACCAAGUAUGACAUCUUGUUCUGCAUCUCGAACUGAUGGACAGGUGAUGAACCUUGGCACCAUUUUUGAAGAACAUCACUAUGGACGUUACAAACCCCAAGUAUCAAGUGUAAUAGAAUUGGAUCACAUGUACACUUGCUUGCCUCCUCCUGAAAGUACUGUCUUGAACAUGCAAGUAAACAAAGAAAAUUGUGGUGAAGAUGUAAUUUCGAAAAUGAAACCUUUGCUGAAAGAAAAAGAGCAUGCAGAUGAAUGUGUUGGAUCUGAAACUCAUCAUGUGAAGAUGAGCCAUUAUGUUUUGAUUAUUGGAUUGACUGAAAAGGUGAAAACAAUAUUUGUUAUCAACCCAGUAUUCCACACUGGACAUGUACUAGAGAUUCCUGACUGUGUGAAAGUGAAGAACUUAUCUUUAAGUGCUCUACCACUCAAUAUCCAAGAGCAGAUUCAAAAAUGCAAGAAGCAAAAUGCUUCUGUUGAAGGUAGAUUUCAGAAAGAUGACAAUUCUUAUUUUUAUAUCAGUCCUGUCUUCAUCCAUCCUCAGAAUUGUUUGCAUUAUGAAGCUAGCACACAAGGAAGCAAAGUGGCCUCAACAUCAUUACUGCCUGGUUCUUCCUCCUUUAAAAAUGAGCUUGUUUGUAAACAAAAUGAAGAUGACAAAAUGCAUCAGACUCAGAAAAGGGAGUCUGUUGAUGCAUUUGGGGAAAGGAUGUGCAACUUUUACAAGAGGAUUGAUUCUGGGACUUCGCAAAACUUGAUGCGUAAGAUUGUUGAUGUAAUCCAGACGACGAUGAAAAGUUCACUAUUGAAUGUUGAAUACCUACAUUCUGGAAGUAUCAAAGCUGAAAAUGACCUUUCUUCAGUCCAAAAGAGCACUCCUGCUAUGCUAAAUAAAGUGCACACAAAUUCUUCAAACAACAGAAGUCCAUCAGCUGUUAUGACCUCGCAAGUUUUAGCUUCUGCUCCCACCAUUUUGCCAGAUGUGCACAACUUUCAAGACAAUGCAGUUAUUAUUUUGAAUGGUAUGGUGUACCUUUUGAUUGGAGAGAACAAUCUUGGAGUAUUUUCCACCGAUACCUUGAAAUCAGAUGCAAGUGUAAACACGUUUUUCAAGGAGGGUGAAAAUGUGAACAAGGAUUUUCCAGAAUCUCAAGAUAAAUGCAGUCAUUCCCAAAUAAAGGAUCUCCAAAAUCCUGGAAUGUCACGUACGGAAGAGGUCACAACCACCAAUGAGGACAGCAGCAGACAAUGUAUCACAAUGACAGAUGUAAGCUUGUUGAAGGCAGCUCGCAUUAAUAAAAAAGUUUUUGUUAAUCUAUCCCGUCUGCCUUCUGGGAAUUUACAGCAAGAAAUCUCUGGUGAUUGCAUGAAACCAGAUUUGCCUUCAGGAGAAAAAGAAGAAUGCAUUUUGAAGGUUGAUAAUGGCAGUAAGACCUCUAAAAGAAAAAGGAAAAAAUAUGCUUCCAAGUCAAAAAGUAAAGUGAAACGAAAGGAAGAAAUGUUGGAAUUCUGCCCAGAAGACGUCAAAGCCAAGACACAUUCUGAACAAUCACCGGCACAUUCUGGAGAAGCAAUGGAGUCUGCAAGCUCUGCUCGCUGUAUAGAAAAUGACAGUACUGCAACUCCUCCACUUCAAAAUGGAAAUGAAAACUGGAAUGAGAAUUCUUCUGACAAAAAUUUCCACACGCCAUUUAUGGAUGAAGACUCUGAACGUUUCAUUCGUUUACAACUGAAGUGGAGGAAAGAUUUGGCAUUGGUGGUGCAAGAUAAAAAUCCGUAAGCACUGCCCUUGAUUAAAAAAUAUUCUUCUUCGUUACAUGCUGAAAAUCAUUCGGGUGUUACAGGUUGCUUAAUGAGAAACAAAUUGCACUGAAUUUGCUGUUCUGGCUCAAUUUUAUGCUUUCUUUCAUCAUUUUCAAUUUUUCUUGUGCUGUCGUCCACGUUCAUUGCACAAAAUUGUUUGGUAUCGUGUGAUAUGAUUUCCGUUGACGGAACCUGGUCUCGCAUCGGUAUCAGUAUAAAUGGAAAUCUUUGAUUGUUUUGAACUUUGGAAACUGAAUGGAUUUACAGGGAGGAGAAGUAGUCAAAUAUCAAUAAAAAAAUCACUUUAUUAUUGUUUAAAACCCUGUUCAUCUUUCCCUUCAAACUUCCAACUGAAGUUUUAUUUUAUUUAUUUUGGGGGGUUUACAAUUUGAAUGUUUUUGUUUUCCUGAAAACAGUAAAAUGUUAUUUUACUCCAAACACUGACCAUAGUUUUUGACAGUGCAGUACAUUACUUGCAGAUGUAUAUAAAUGCAAUCAAAUAGUUCAUUGUUUUCUUGAACUUUCUUCUUUUUCUUCUUUUCUUCUUAUAAGUUUCUUCUUUUUAUUUUCAGAUGUAAAUACUGUAUUUUGAGAUUCCCUUUGGUUUGGGAAAUAAAUGCAUUUGAGCAUUUUGAAAGCUUUGACUUCUCACUGAAAUCUAUUAUUCUACCCAACUAGCAUUUUCAUGUUUCAGGACGAACUAAAUUAAAUAUUGUUGGACUGGAUUGAUUUGAUUAGUUUG
Long non-coding RNA from Eptatretus burgeri (inshore hagfish), 3286 nucleotides. Lineage: Eukaryota; Metazoa; Chordata; Myxini; Myxiniformes; Myxinidae. The record is from Ensembl.